CCCUUAGAUGUUCUGGGCCGCACGCGCGCUACACUGAUCAGUGCAACAAGCAUCCGUCCUUGGCCGACAGGCCCGGGCAAUCUUUGAACGCUGAUCGUGAUGGGGAUAGACUUUUGCAAUUUUUGGUCUUCAACGAGGAAUUCCUAGUAAACGCAAGUCAUCAACUUGCAUUGAUUACGUCCCUGCCCUUUGUACACACCGCCCGUCGCACCUACCGAUUGAAUGGUCCGGUGAAGCCUCCGGAUUGGCGUGCACCCUCGGGUGCUGCCGAGAAGUUGGCUAAACCUUACCAUCUAGAGGAAGGUGAAGUCGUAACA
RNAcentral lists this ribosomal RNA (317 nucleotides) under uncultured eukaryote. Its description in RNAcentral is "partial 18S ribosomal RNA". It matches the Rfam family "Eukaryotic small subunit ribosomal RNA", at positions 1470 to 1796 of the family's 1831-position model. The record is from RNAcentral.